RNAcentral lists this ribosomal RNA (253 nucleotides) under uncultured bacterium. RNAcentral describes it as "partial 16S ribosomal RNA". It matches the Rfam family "Bacterial small subunit ribosomal RNA", at positions 524 to 776 of the family's 1533-position model. The record is from RNAcentral.
UACGGAGGGUGCAAGCGUUAAUCGGAAUUACUGGGCGUAAAGCGCGCGUAGGUGGCUUGUUAAGUCAGAUGUGAAAGCCCCGGGCUCAACCUGGGAAUUGCCUCUGAUACUGGUGAGCUUGAGUACGGGAGAGGAGAGUAGAAUUCCAGGUGUAGCGGUGAAAUGCGUAGAUAUCUGGAGGAAUACCGGUGGCGAAGGCGGCUCUCUGGCCCGAUACUGACACUGAGGUGCGAAAGCGUGGGGAGCAAACAGG